GCGGGGAGUAGGGCACGGCGAGGGCGGGCCUUGGAGGAGGGCCUGGAGUCCUGCGGCCGGCCUUGCUGACUCCCUCCGUGCCCCGGAGGCCUUGCUCAGGACCAUGCUGACGCGCUAAACCUGUGCAGCAGCCUCCAGAAGAGUCUUGCCUGCCGGCUCUGGCCGCAGCCCCUCCCAGGCCCCCCUAAAGGACUGGGCCGGCGGAGGCUUUCGAAGCGGCCAGAAGGGGACAGUGCCAUCGCGUGGAAGUGGCGGGAAUCGCUGCUGGUCCUUGAGAAACCCAGUGGGUUUGGGGAAAGGGACUGACUUCUCUUGCGGGUUCAUCCAAGUCACACCCUGAGUGCCCCCGGCAGGCCGGCGCUGGCCUAGGGCUGCAGAAAUGAAAGGCCCUAUCUGUUCAGUCUAGUAGAGGGGAGGGCGACGCCGAAGGAACCGGAAGCGCGGCGGCGUUGGGCCAUGGAGUAAGCUGGUGGGAGCCCUCAGGAAGCUUCAGGCAGCUGAUAGGAGGCCCUUCCACCACCACCGUCCUUACGAACAUGAAUCAUGUCCAGGCACAGGGGCACAGCCAAACAAGAGGGAAUCCAGGCCCUGGCGGAACUUACGGCCGUAAACAGACUUUCAAAAAGACCUUCCUUUAGAAUGACCAACUUACCAUUCCCAUCUUGGAGUUUGCAGAGCACUAUUAGUGUUCUGAGAGAGUGCUCAGCAGAAGUGGGAGACCAGAGAUCCGUCUGCCACAGAUCCUCCAACCCUCUGAGGCCCAGAGCUUCGAGCCCGAUGCCAUGCAAAUGGGAGAAGCUCAGACAUCAGUGAAACUCCACUGGUGGCCCAGGCCAUUUGGGGAAGAAUACAGAGUGAGGCCAGGGUACUGCUUCCCACCCUCCCACCGCACAGCUUCCAGGCAGGCACCUCCAUCCAUGACUCCCUUUUGCAGGCCAUCCUUGUUGUCGGAAGUCAAGAGCAACUCCACAAUACCUCGGUCCUCCAAGGCCUGUGGGGGAAAAGAAAACAAGUCAACAUGUCGUUCCUCAGAGUUGGGAAGGGACAGUUAGAAAAGAAAGAAGGAAAGUUUCAAAAUAAAUUAUUUACUUCACCACAGAAAGUAGACAGAAACCUAUCCUGUUUAUGUUCAACAUGUUCAACAAAGCUCCUAUCAGCUGAAGUCCAGCUGAGGCAGGGUCAAGGCUGUCAGACUCUGGCAUCCCUUGGCUGCCACAGAUCUGGUGAGGGGCCAGUUCUGACUAAUGUGCUGUUCCUAGACAGGCCUACACAGAGGCCAGCUUGCAGGGGGUCCAUGAGCAGGUCAGGACCUCCUGACCCUCCAGCCACCCCACAUCAGAAAGAAGCAGCCCAUCCCUCCCCCACACCGGGCCAGGGUGGGCUCUGUUCAACACAGUCACAUGCCCAAGACAUGCUGCAUGUGCCCAGGAGAACAGGAAGAUCUCCUCGAAAGUUGUCAAUCAAAUGAAGAAGUAGAAGGAGCACACACUGCGCUGAAAGGCAGUAACCAUUUUACUACUCAGAGUAACUGCUACAUUUAUGAACCACUUACAAUCAUGGCAGGCCUUCUGCUAAAUACUUUACAUAGACUGUCCUAUUCACUCUUCGCAAUAACUGUACAGACAGAAACAACAGAAGCUGCAGAAGUUCAAUUCGUUAAGCAGGGUGAGAUUUUUAUUAAAAUCUGGACUCAGCAUCUCACAACUCCCAACCCAGUCAUUUGCCGAUAUAUAACAGGCUUUGCCUCAGUUCCUACUUUACACAUACAGCCUCGUGUUGGUUGGGAGGGUGUAACCUUCUUUUACAGCUGUACUAUUUACACUUGACUUUUCACAGGCAUUAAUUUAUUGACUGCAUACCAUAAGGGGUAAUUACUAUUUCCUGAGCACCAGCGAACUGUCAAACAGAGUUAGGGGUCUUGUGUCUGUAAUCUCACUUCAUUCCCAGAGCAGCCUUAGAGAAAGGCAUUCUUGACUCCACUGAGCACAUGAUGAAGCUAAGGCUCAAAAAGGUCAGCUGUUUGACCCAAGGUCAUCCUAUGCUGAUGGUGUCUGUAUAUCUGCAAUAUCCAGGAAAAGCUGCAUGGCAGCUCUAGGAGGGGAUCCUCCCAAGAGCUCAGGAUGACGGAGGAUGACAGAAGCUGCAGCUUCUCUUUGUCCACCUGUCUCACAUGUGGAUACCUUCCCCAGACACCAAGGAAGUUGAACUGGAGAAGCCCCUGAAGGAUUGCACUCUCCUCUCCACCCAUCAGCAGAGCUCUCCUUCUCUACAGCUCAGGACUCAGUAAACACCUUCUGGAGAAACCCCAGCAUUUGAGAGACAGUCCAAGGAAAGGAGUUACAGUGGGAGAAGCCCUCCUAUCCUGAGGCCUGGCUGAGAUCUCUCUAGUUAAUUCAAAGGCAAAGAGGAAGCUGGAAGUGUGAUCUAAACAGGCUGCAGUUGGGCUUAACUAUCAGAAUGGAAGCUAAUUCUGGAGCUCCCCUUCCCAGCUUUGGGAAUGCCUCUUCCUGGAGACAGGCUUGCUCCCUAGAGACAGGCUUUCUGCAGGUGAUAAGAAAGGGGCAAGACUACAUGAGAGCCUAUAAUCUGGAGCACUUGAGCCUGUGUGCAGGGACUGAAGUAAUUUCCAAAUGGAAAAUGAAUCUGCCUAUGACAGCAGAAGAGAUGCUGACAUCAAGGGCCAAAGCUAAAGCAGCUUUAAUUAGGUGGAUUCCCUAAGGCCACUUACCAUUUCCUCAGCCCACACCAUGGCCCGCCCUUCUAAGUACUAUAAAACCACUGCCAAUAAUCUAUCAAAGUCUUAUUUACUGACUAGUUACUAUACGGCUAGAAUAGUCCUGAGCCAAGUGAUCUCACACACAUGCACAAUUCAGAGAGGCAAAUUCUCUCAUUAGUCCCACUUCAAAGAAGAGAAAAUGGAGGUUUAGAAAAAUUAAGGCAUUUGCUCAAGGCCUUAGCUACAAAUGGAUAGAACCCAGAGCAGAGUAUAUCCCUGUUGUUUUAAGUGUCAUCUAACCCUGCCCUACCCUGAUCUGCCACACAUUAAAUCAGUGGUUCUCAAAAUAACCCACACAUUGGAAUAAGAACCCAGAGAUUCUUAUUUAAUUGAUACAGUACAUGGCCUGGGCACAGGGAUUUUUAAAGUGAUGUUCAAAUGUUUAAAGUGAUGUUUAAUGUUCACAUGAAGCUGGGAACCCUUGCAUUAGAUGCUAGAAUGAGAGCAGCCUCUGCAGAGAGACUUCACUUGUCAUCACACUCAAUGAAACCCAUCCCUUUAUUUUCAGCCACUGCGAUACCAUAUAUGUGCUACAACCCACAAUUAGACUCAAUUGAUAAAUGGUGAUAAAAGUGAUGACACCACUGAAAUAAAAGUACGGUGAAAGGAUUCACCAUAUGUGAAAUAUGCUAGGUGAAAGGUGCUAGGAAAUUAAUAAAUGGUGCUAGGAAAUGUAGUAUUAAUAUGAGAAAAGAAUUAGACCAACAUCACAUCAUAGCCCAUAUUACAUUUCAGAGGAAGGAAUAUGAAGAAAUAAACCAAAAUGACUCUUACUUUCUUGAUGUAAGGCAUAUAGGCAGGGUCUUUGUUAUAGGAACCAUAUUCAUUCUCCACCUGCACAGCAAUGAUGGGGCCUCCAUGCUUAUACUGCGAAAAGAGAAAUAAACAAAAGCUGAGUUUGUAGUGGAAACUGUACUAAUUUCACCACACUUAUCACCAAUUACCAGCAAAAUAUUGCAUUUGAAAACAAAAGUCUCAAAAGAUUUGGUAAUAUAAUUGAGACUGAUGUCAGUAGGACACAGAGUAGGUAGGGAGUUCCAGGUCCUCAUUCCCUUAUGGGAACAUCAAAUAAACAAUUACAGGCCAACUAAAAUAACUUUUUAAGAGCUCUGGAAACCAGUUAAAUGUUUAAGCAAAUCAAGAAAAAUGCAUGUUUAAAAGCAUAAGAAAUCUCCUGGUGUUUUUCUUCACCCUUGCCCCACCUCCUCGCCAGCAUAGCAUGGCAUAGUCAGAAAAAAGCAACCCAAUCCCUAGUUCCCUCCCUGAAGACAGAAGGAGAAAAAUGAAAUUUGUUUGCAAUAUUCUGGACUGUCUAUAGGCUUCCCAUUAGACUAGUUUCUGUCUCAUCUGACUUGGAGCUCAUACAGGAAAUGGCAUAGCUUGGACCUCAGGUUGGAAGCUAUACAAGGCAAUGAAGAUCACAACAUGUGAAAAUUUCAGGGGGGUGUAAAGGCCCAUGUAUGCCAGGUGCAAGGGGUUAUAGAUAGAGGAAUAUGAUAGAACACCUAAGGCCACAAAAAAAAGAAAAGAAAAACUGAGGUGAGACUCUUUGGGAAAUUAAGACAUGUAAAAGCAGCCAAGGAAAAUUAGGAGG
Mustela erminea (ermine) is the source of this 4370-nucleotide long non-coding RNA. RefSeq lists it as uncharacterized. The transcript has 2 exons. NCBI's taxonomy places the organism in Eukaryota, Metazoa, Chordata, Mammalia, Carnivora, Mustelidae. The record is from RefSeq and is a predicted model, not a curated record.